Molecule: long non-coding RNA, 362 nt
Filed under: Felis catus (domestic cat)
Lineage: Eukaryota; Metazoa; Chordata; Mammalia; Carnivora; Felidae
Description: lncRNA (ENSFCAG00000052444.1)
Source: RNAcentral
AAGAUGUGAUUAUGAUGGAUUGUGCUUCAAAGCAAUUAGAAAGCUUGCAUCAGCUGCAUUUGCAUGGCUGAUUAUAUGAGUCUUGUCAACCUUCUGGCCUGCUACAUUGUCGCUGAAAAAAUCUGGAGAAUUUGUCUUGAUACUGGGAAAGUGCAAUGCUGUUUUAAAACUCUACAUUUCAAGAAAACUGAACAUCUUUGUCAUAAACCUGGGCCAGCUGUACAGUUCUCUGGCGUAUCUUUCCGGUACCCCCAUCUGAAGUCCUUGUGGGUAAGACCUACCUUACUUUCUUAUCCCUAGUGCCUGUUGACCUGGAUUUGAUGAUCAGGAGAUGUUUGAAUAAAUAAAUGAAUGAGUGAACA